Molecule: long non-coding RNA, 1619 nt
Organism: Oncorhynchus kisutch (coho salmon)
Lineage: Eukaryota; Metazoa; Chordata; Actinopteri; Salmoniformes; Salmonidae
Exons: 3
Source: RefSeq, a predicted model, not a curated record
GACUAUUUGUAUAGGCGUUAUAUGUUCCGUAUUUUCAAUUGUGACGUACUAUUCAACUGACAGCAAUAUAGUGAUUAUUAGAAUAAUCAAACCGCUCAUGUAGCGAGAACCGGAAGCGCCGACUGCCAGGGGAGGAGAGUAGGCGACUGUACGUAGAAAUAUCUGCGCAAGCGUCUUUGAAAGACAUAAUGUGAGUUACAGCGCUAACUGCUAUGGAAGGUUGAGUGGUGUGGUGGACCGUUGUGAUGGCACUGUAGACAUGUCACCUGUGCACCAGGUAGUCAAUAGAAGCUGUCCCUGUGGUGACACGGGCUGGAGAACAUCCUGCUGAGGCUGCAGACAGGUCUGAGAGACAACCAGACCUCACAGGACAAACACUCACAGCCAAGAGGGACUCUGAAGCUCUGCCAGUGACCACCUCCCUGACCAAGGCCCCUCCCCCCGAUUCCGCAGUUUGGCCCGGGUGGACAGCUCUAGUAAUAGUAUUGGUGGUUUAAAACGUCUUCCAUGUAAGAAUGCUGGAGGCCACUGUGUUCUUGAGGAUCUUCAAUGCUGCAGAAAUGUUUUGGUUACCCUUCCCCAGAUCUGUGCCUCGACACAAUCCCGUCUCUGAGCUCUACAGACAACUCCUUCGACCUGAUUGCUUGGUUUUUGCUCUGACAUGCACUGUCAACUGUGGGACCAUAUAUAGACAGGUGUGUGCCUUUCCAAAUCAUGUCCAGUCAAUUACAUUUACCACAGGUGGACUCCAAUCAGGUUGUAGAAACAUCUUGUGGAUGAUCAAUGGAAUAGGAUAUACCUGAGCUAAAUUGAGGAUCAUAACAAAGGGUCUGAAUACUUGUAGAAAUACUUUAUUUGUUUAAUUUUUUUAUACAUUUGAAAACAAUUCUGAUCCUGUUUUUGCUUUGUCCUUAUGGGGUAGUGUUUGUGGAUUAUUUUCUCUCAAUUUAAUCAAUUUUAGAACAAGGCUGUACCAUAACAAUGUGGGUAAGGGGUCUGAAUACUUUCUAACUGCACAGUGUAUAUUAAUGUAAUGAAAUUGGUCACAUCUAGCAGAUUUUGUCGCAAAAUGCUUGUGUUCCUAGCUCCAACAGUGCAGUAGUAUCUAAAAAUGAUUCACAGCAAUGCACAAUCUAAAAAUAGAAGAAUGGCAUUAAGAAAUAUAUAAAUAUUAGAUCGAGAAAUGUCGGCGUGGCAUCGACUAAAAUACAUUAGAAUAGAAUACAGUAUAUACAUGAGAUGAGUAAAGCAGUAUGUAAACAUUAUUCAAGUGACAAGUGAUUCUAUGUGUAUAGGGGGUGUUCCCUUUAUUCCAUACAUCCUGCAUGUUAAUUCAUGGCCUUGGAAAUGUAAAUACUAAAAUAAUGUUUGGCUUUUAAAUUAUUUCUGUUCUGAGGCCUAAUGGAAUGGAUGAACAGCCAUGUAAAUGCCAAUUAUUAUUAAAUGCCUUAUUCUUAUCAUGUCUUUCCAAAUCCAUUUUGAUUACAAUAUCCCUGAGAUGAAUGUUGUAUAAUGUUAUGGUCCUUACGGCAAUGUAACUUGCACUUUGUUUUCAGGUUUGAAUGACAGUGUAUUCCCCUAAACUUAUUUCAAUAAAGUUGUUACUUGUUUAUAUGUAA